RNAcentral lists this ribosomal RNA (480 nucleotides) under uncultured bacterium. RNAcentral's name for it is "partial 16S ribosomal RNA". It matches the Rfam family "Bacterial small subunit ribosomal RNA", at positions 28 to 507 of the family's 1533-position model. The record is from RNAcentral.
GAUGAACGCUAGCGGCAGGCCUAACACAUGCAAGUCGAGGGAGAGGUUACCUUCGGGUCACCAAAACCGGCGCACGGGUGCGUAACGCGUAUACAAUCUGCCUUUCACAUAGGGAUAGCCCGAAGAAAUUUGGAUUAAUACCUAAUGGUAUAUAAGAGCGGCAUCGUUUUUAUAUUAAAGCUACGGUGGUGAAAGAUGAGUAUGCGUUCUAUUAGCUAGUUGGAGAGGUAACGGCUCCCCAAGGCGACGAUAGAUAGGGGUUCUGAGGGGGAUGUCCCCCACACUGGUACUGAGAUACGGACCAGACUCCUACGGGAGGCAGCAGUGAGGAAUAUUGGACAAUGGUCGGAAGACUGAUCCAGCCAUGCCGCGUGCAGGAUGAAGGUCCUAUGGAUUGUAAACUGCUUUUGUAAGGGAAGAAUAAGGAGUACGUGUACUUUGAUGACGGUACCUUACGAAUAAGCAUCGGCUAACUCCGUG